GGGCUUGCUUCUGCAGUCCGCAUACUAAAACUGGAGCAAUAUAGGGUUAUCGUGGUCCCUGUGCAAUGAGGACAUGUAUAUUCGUGAAGUAUUCCAUAUGUGG
This 103-nucleotide small nuclear RNA is filed under the name Castor canadensis (American beaver). The record is from RNAcentral. Lineage: Eukaryota; Metazoa; Chordata; Mammalia; Rodentia; Castoridae.